Molecule: ribosomal RNA, 332 nt
Filed under: uncultured eukaryote
Lineage: Eukaryota
Description: partial 18S ribosomal RNA
Rfam family: Eukaryotic small subunit ribosomal RNA
Source: RNAcentral
CCCUUAGAUGUUCUGGGCUGCACACGAGCUACACUGGCAGGUUCAGCGAGCUUCAUGCCCUGAUCUGAAAGGAAUGGGAAAUCUUUUCAAAACCUGCCGUGCUUGGGAUAGAUGUUUGCAAUUAUUCAUCUUCAACGAGGAUUGCCUUGUAAGCGCACGUCAUCAGCGCGCAUUGAAUACGACCCUGUAUUCUGUACACACCGCCCGUCGCUCCUACCGAUUGAAGUUUUCGGUGAGUUGACAGGAGGAUUUUUUUGAAACUGGUUCGCCAGUGGAUUUUAGAUCCAAAUGCCAACGAAUCGAUGGCUUUAGAGGAAGGAGAAGUCGUAACA